RNAcentral lists this long non-coding RNA (5292 nucleotides) under Gallus gallus (chicken). Lineage: Eukaryota; Metazoa; Chordata; Aves; Galliformes; Phasianidae. The record is from RNAcentral.
GUUCAGUUUCACACAGCGUUAACUCAAGUGCGCCCGCUCUGCCAUUGUCUCCCGCACGACAGCCCGCCCGCGCUCGCUUUCCAUGACAAAGCUUUAGGGCGAAAUGAAUCGAGGGCCGAAGUCCGCCUUUGUCCGCCCUAAACAAACUCUCCCGCGGCCCCCCCCCCUCCUCCCCCCCGGCGGCAGCGCGGGGCCCUCCGGCGGCGGCGGGGCGGGGGGCAGCGCCGGGAGCCGCGGGGAGCCCCUCCUUCCCUCCCUUCCCCGCGAGGCGGGGGCCGUGCGGCGCGGGGCGGACUCGGUGCUGCCGGGGGCUUUCCCCGCACGGCCGCCGCCGCCGCCCCGCCUCAGGGCCGGCGCUCUCCCGCCCCGCCCGCCCCCGCGGCUCCCGGCGCGGAGGGGCUUCCCCUCGCCCUGCGGAGCCGCCGCGGCCCCGCGCUUCCCCUCCGCCCGUUCCGUUUCGUUCCGCGCCCCGCCCCGCCAAGGGUUAAGCCGCAGGGCCGGCCCGGCGAUGGCAGCCCUGUCAGACGGGAAACACCCGGCUGCCCCGACAGGGCCGUGGAGCGCGGCGGCGGCGGGGUGUGUGUGCGGGGGGGGGGGGAGGAGGUGCGCGGGGGGUGAGAUCCCCGCGCGGGUGAGGCGCGCCCGGCCCGGAGCUCCGGGCGUGGAGCCCGCUGACAGCGCGGCCGAGCCCCGCCGCCUCCCCGGGACGCGGCUCCGCGCCGCCCGAGCCCUCUCCCCUCCGCCCCGGGUCCUUAACCGAGCGGACGAGGCGGGAGGUGCGGGACGAGGCCCGGCCCGACCGCUCCCGGCCGGCGGAGCGGCCCCGUAGCCGGACUCGGGCGGCCGGCGGCACGGUCCGCGCUCCGCUCCGCGCACCCCGCGGCGCCCGCCCCGAGGAAAAGAAGCACGACGCCCCCCCCCCCCCCAACCCACCCCAAUGACACCGGAGCCCCGGGGAGGAAGGGGGGUGGGGGGGGGGCUUUGUGCGGGGAAUUGAAGGAAAAUUUACAAAACAAAACAAAAAAAAAUACAACGCGGAGAGAGAGAGAGAGAGACGGGGGCAGAGUGGCUCCUCCUCCUCCUCUCCAAAAAGGCCUGUUGGAAAACUGCACACGGCGGCGGCUCCAACGGCACCAUCGCCGCGCUCUGCCCUGGAGAGAAAAGGAGGCGAAAGGCACCGAGCGAGAGGGGGGGGACCGCGGCGAAAGGGGGGAAAAGGCCCGAUCUCUUUGUGUUACCUGCCGUGAAACCAGUCCUUGCAGGCAUCGCAUUCAAUCAUGAAGCGGGUUACGUCGUAGGGCAGCCUACAGAUGCAAUAGACGGGCACCGUCGCCAUGUUAGCUCCCUUCAAAACAACACCGGACUCGCGGAGAGGCGAGCGGGGCUGGCGGCGGCUCCUGCCGCUCGGUAGCUUUGGCGGCUGCUCCUUCCGAAACGCGAGCGAAUUUGCGAUGUCGAGAGACGGAGCGGGGAGGGGGAAAGGGGGGGGGAAAGAAGGGGGGAAAAAAAAAAAUCAGAUAAUGCAAUUACGGCUCCUCAAGGGCGAGCGAGCAAUGUCAGAAAAAUAAGAAAGGGCUUCGCAAAGUUUGGCUGCAUGGUUCCUCCGGCUCCGCGAGCGCCGACCGGACCGGGGCUUUUUUGUUGUUGUUGUUGUUAAAUGAUUAUUAUUCAAAAUGUUUGGCGAAAUGCAUUAUAUUGCAUGCCCCCUGGUGACAGUACAGUACCGAGGCUUUUCAUAAACACUCCGAAAUGUAGCCCUUUCCUUGUAAUGUCCUUACGUCAGCUUGCAACAUUGCAAUAUUUCCUCUGCCGGGGCUGGGGCUGGGGCGGGCGGCGGCGGAGGGGGAGGCGAAGCGAGGCGAGGCGAGGCGGCAGCUCCGCGCUCGGCGCCGGGGGCAGCGGGAGGGAGCCGCGGUUUGGAAGGCACCCCACCACCUCCAUCCGUGCCAGCCCCAUCGCUGUCGCACGCUGGGCUGCUACCCCGGAGCUGCAGAUGGGUGAGCGGCAGUGGCGAAGGCAGAAGAGGAACCCUUGAGUUUGAGCUGAGAUUGAGAACACAGAACUUCUCCCCCUCCCAUUGCACAGAGUCCAAAGAGCCCUCUGGGUGGUUUUGGAAGGCAUGCUUCAGGGCAUUCUGCUGGGACACAUCUGAGCAUCUUCAACAGCCGCUGACACAUGUCCCUUGCAAGUACGAGAACGUCACGUAAAGUAAUCACAAGGUGUCCCAGCUGAUGUGCAAGUGCCAGUUCCGACAGGUUUGGUGUCUUGAAUCCCUCUCAUUUUCAGAGGGAGGAUAAAAUCUAUCUGUCUUAAAGCAAGAAGAGAAAAACGGGCAUUUCUUGGUGUUUUUUCAGCAGUCUGCCAAAUCAGAAAUCACCCUGUAGCGGACAAAGGAAAUUCAAGGGCCCAAAUAACUUCAGGUUUCGCAAUGUCGAGAGACAGAGCAGAGAUGGGGGGAGGUGGAAAAAAACAGAUAAAGCAGUGCCAGAAAAAUAAGACGGGGCUUCCCAAAGUUUGGCUGCAUGGUUCCUCGGGCUCUGUGAGAGAGAAAGCCACUAUUGAUACAGGCAGAACCUGCCUAGGUCGACUGAAGAGAGACUGUCAAAACUGCUCGCCUUGCCCCCUGGAUUGAUGUGCCACAGAAGUGACUUUCAGGCAGCGCUCAUGAUGAACUACAUGUGAACUAGUGCUGGGAAUGGCAUUCCUGGGCCCACCAUGAAUGUUUACGAGUGAAACUGAAUUUCUGGCAUAGCUCAAGGUGUGGUAACACAGGACUGAGAUUAUAGGCCUACAUCAUGACUCAGUUGUUUUGAAUGACAUCUUGAGGCACACAAAAUGUCUGUUUUCCUCAGUGCUGAGUGGCAAAAGUAUAUACCUGUGAAAAACCUAGACCCCAUUUCAGCCUGAAUUCAACUACUGAGAUUUUAAUUACUCAGUGUUUCAACCAGAAAAGCAGAAGAACAAGUCUAGGGUGUUACGUGGGCUCACAUUGCACCGGGGGAGGUUCAGGUUGGAUGUUAGGAAAAACACUGCAAGAGUGGCUUGUGCUGAAUGGGCUGCGUCACCUGCAGGUGCUCAAGAAACAUGGAGACACGGCGCUGAAGAAUGUGGUUAGUGGGCAGUACUGGUGGUAGAUGGAUGGUUGAACUGGAUGAUUGUAGAGGUCUUUUCCAACCGUAACGAUCCUUUGAGUCUCUGAUAAUGCAGGAUGAGGAGACGAGGCCCAGACAACCACUGCAUGAGCUGUGAGCACCUUUGUAGUCCUCUCCUCACUGCCACACCUGUUGGAACCUUUGCAGGAGAGGUUUAAACGUGUUCGCUGAUUUUCAAUCAUGUGCUCUUGCAGUGGUUGUCUUUGCUACCACUUCUUGAGCUUUCCAGAUGUUCUUCUUAUCACUUUGAAGCAUUCUUCCUAUAUAUUUCCUCUACAGCAAGUGGUGCAUAAGCUUAUUUCUACUUACGGUGCUAUGUGGCUAUACACAUUGUCCCCAGAGUUAUUUCCGGACUAGUAAAGGUAAACCAAGUUAUCUUUUUUUUUCCCUUUGACCAUAUCUGCUCUUUAAAAAAAUGUUUACAAAGAAGCCGUCCAUGAAACCAACCUUGAAACAACAGGGAUCACUGGGCUUCAGCAGGAGGGGAGCUUGUGGGGACUGCAUGCCUCUUCCAGAGUUCCCCAUCUGACACCAGAUCCUAUGACACUGAUCGGUCAGAUCUCGCAGAACACCGUACUGUGCUGUCUUGGUUUCUGAACCAAGGCAAGGAACUGAACAAUUGAAACUGCAAAAGGGGGCUGGGAUAAAAGGGCCUUUCAUAUAGCAAAUUAGCUGAAAGGUUUAGUUAAAGAAUGGACUUUGGAACAGCUAACACAGAUCGCAUUUAUCACUCCAUACCUGCGCUUUCCCACUUAAACACUCUUCUUUUGCUUCAUUUCAGCACACAGUCUCACACACACAGAACCUUGACAUGAGGAAGCAACUUUAUUGGACAUCAGCAUCGUUCUGACAGCAGUGCUCUGUCUUCAGCGUGGGUCACCACAGGCUGGCAGGCACCAGGGCCCAAGGAAGGGCUGCGGUGAAGACUUGAAUCUCCUCCUUCAUGUUGGAGUUCUUUCACCCGGGCUUACAAGCUGCAUGACCCAACUGAUCCAGAACGACAGCGCACAGCAUUCUGAGCUAAUACGGCUCCUGAAAGCAGCAAGGAGCUGUUUGUCACCAGUAAACCAGAAGUUUGCAAAGAGAGUUUUGGAAUGUUUGUCACUUUUCUGUUUCGAUUCGCUGGCAAUUUGCUUCUGUGGUAAAGCAGAAGGUAGCACCUUAAAUAAAUUGAUCUGGAUGAGGGAAUUUGAUCUGGAUGAGAGGAUUGAGUGCAUCCUCAGUAAGUUGGCAGAUGACACCAGGUUGGUGUAAGUGUUGAUCUGCCUGAGGGCAAGAAAGCCCGGGACAGAAUGCAUCGCUGGGCUGGGGCCAAUGGGAUGAAGUUCAACAAGAACAAGUGCUGGGUCCUGCAUUUGGCCACAACUCCAGGCAAUGCUACAGGCUUGGGGCAGUGGCUGUCAGGCUGACCCAGCACUGGGCUCUCACUGUGUUGGGGCCAGUCCCCUCCUCCCUCAUAGUCAGGCAGUUGGAGCUGAGAGGAAAGGCCUCGGCUGCUUCAGAGGGCUGUGCCAUAGGCUGGGCCAGGUGCAGCAGUACGCUGCAGCUCCAGCACAGUGCUCUGUCGCAGGACCUGACACCAAUGCAGCCCUGCCUGGGGCAUGGAUAGCAAAAUGCUGUCUGUAGGGAAGCUGGCAGGUCUGACAAUCAGUGUCUUUAUUCCUAUCAGAUUCCACUCCGGAAAUAGCAAGGCUCACUUCUUAUAGGGCAGGUUGGUGUGCGUAAGGAAUAACAAACCAUCCACUCUUUGGCACCUGUUCCAGAAGCUGCAUGCACAGGGUGAUGGCAAGGAGCUGGAUUCAGCAGCUUGGAUGUGGUGGGGAUGGGACCUGGAGCAGCAGCAUCACACCCUCCAAUUACAAAAGUGACCCUUAAGGGGCACAGCUCCCAGGAGCACAGUGAACAGUGUGUGUGGCAUGUCAGCUUGCAUGGCAGUUCCUGCACGCAGGGUGAGCUGGGGGGCAGAGCAUCCCUCCCUACUUGGGAGACUGGCUUACCCAGCGACUGCCUCCUGGAGAAUACAUCUAGCCAUGGCUUCCAUGAGGCAAAAAGCUCUCUCCAAAACGAAUGCAGUGACCCAGAUCGAGUGCCUGCCCAAAAAUGUGGCUGUCCAGAUUUCUGGCCGCACGGAGUGCCCGAG